RNAcentral lists this ribosomal RNA (317 nucleotides) under uncultured bacterium. Its description in RNAcentral is "bacterial SSU rRNA". It matches the Rfam family "Bacterial small subunit ribosomal RNA", at positions 29 to 329 of the family's 1533-position model. The record is from RNAcentral.
AACGAACGCUGGCGGCGUGCCUAACACAUGCAAGUCGUGCGAGAAAGUUCCUUCGGGAGCGAGUAAAGCGGCGCACGGGUGAGUAACACGUAGGUAACCUGCCCCCCAGUCUGGAACAACUAGAGGAAACUCUAGCUAAUGCCGGAUGAGACCACGAUCCCUUCGGGGGUUGCGGCCAAAGAUGGCCUCUACUUGUAAGCUAUCGCUGAGGGAUGGGCCUGCGGGCCAUUAGCUUGUUGGUGAGGUAACGGCUCACCAAGGCUGUGAUGGCUAGCUGGUCUGAGAGGAUGACCAGCCACACUGGGACUGAGACACGG